RNAcentral lists this unclassified non-coding RNA (249 nucleotides) under Hevea brasiliensis (rubber tree). The record is from RNAcentral. Lineage: Eukaryota; Viridiplantae; Streptophyta; Magnoliopsida; Malpighiales; Euphorbiaceae.
GCUCGUGUCGUUCUCCAGGAAGGGAACGGCAAAGUCAUCAUCAAUUAUCGGGAUGCUAAGGAGUAUCUUCAGGGAAAUCCUUUAUGGCUGCAGUAUGUCAAGACUCCGUUGCUGACCUUGGGGUAUGAAGGCACCUAUGAUGUUUUUGUUAAAGCACAUGGCGGUGGCCUCGCUGGCCAGGCUCAGGCAAUUUCUCUUGGAAUUGCUCGUGCUCUCCUCAAGAUUAGUGAGAACCAUAGGGUACCUCUG